This is a long non-coding RNA of Caretta caretta (loggerhead turtle), 4019 nucleotides long. RefSeq lists it as uncharacterized. The record is from RefSeq and is a predicted model, not a curated record. NCBI's taxonomy places the organism in Eukaryota, Metazoa, Chordata, Testudines, Cheloniidae.
GUGAGCUUUACAUUUAGAGGUGAAUUCUCAUAAAACUCAUUUCCAUAUUUUAUACAUUUUAUACUCCUAAUUCUUCUGCAUCUUGCCCAAAAAUGUCAGGGUUUUGAGUUAUUCUCCAUUAAGCACUGUUAGUUAUUUAUUGUAUAUAUCUUAGAAUAGCUUUUUCCCCCAUUAGUUAAGGUAGCCAGGAAAGUUGCAUCCCUUGGCCUGGAUGAAUAUUUUCCUAAACCAGUCCUUUACUGUUCAAGUGGUGGGGCUGGGGAAAGGAAAUCAGAUAUUGAAAAAGGUGAUCAGAAUCUCUUUGCAGGGCUUUCUUUGUUCCUGGAUGUUUGUGUUGUGUGCCCAUCUGUCCUUUUUAACUGACAGCCAAGAAAUUUGUUUAAAGUAUCAGAGAUGUGACAUGUUAUGUCAAGCAGUGCCAGGACACUAUAUAUGCAUGAUAUAUGAACUGGUGAUAUAUAUUGUUUCACUGACUCAAUCCAAGUAAUGUUCCAGUGUGAUAUGUCAUCCAGCACAUUUCACAAAAAGAAAUGUUAAUGUUACAGUUUAGAUAAAAUAGCUUGGGAAGAAUGUAGAAAAACCUUAUGCCCAAUUACGUGUUCGUUGGUCACUUCCAUAGGAAUUAUUUGGCAUAUUCAUCAAAAACAAUUAAUAGUUUUAUUUGUAAUAAUACAUAGGGAUAAGGAGUUACUCAAAGUCUUGCCAGAUUUUUAAUUCAGAGUUUUUAAUGAAGGUGCCAACCACUCUCUGUCAUUUAUUUAGGGGAAUUACCAGCUCAAGCAAACAAAGGAUGUACAAUAUAUAGAGCAUGUGACAAAAAUAAUAAUAAUGGGGAACUGACUUGUUUGUCCAUAGUGGAGAAUGGGGAUGUCCUCAAAGCAGACUGCUUUUUAAAAAAAAAAAACACUGCCCCUCCUUUCCCCACCAAAAAAAGCCCUUCAGUGUUUGUGGUACAAUUAGCUGUGGGUACAAAUACUAGCAUUAGGUAUUUAAUUAUUGAUUGCACUCUCAAAUUAAGUAGUUAGAUGUCAAACUACUAGUAUUUUCACCUUUAAUAGUAGAUGCAAAAUUGCAGGUCAAAUUGAGGUCCCUUAAAAACAAAUAAACAAAAACCUAGGCAUUAAUGUGUAGGCUACAAUAAUUGUGCUUAGCUAUUGAGCAUUAUGGGAGAUCAGUGUUAAUACAAAAAGGAAUAAGACUUAUACAUUUAUCAUUAUAAUACAAAGAUUACAUGCCUCACAAGAUUUCUGACCACUUGUAAACCAAUUACAAGCACAGUUCUUGAGAUUUUAGGAUGCAGAAAAUGAAGCUGGGAUGAUGUGAGCCUUAUUUCGUGGGAUACAGAAUGAGAUUUACAAACACCCCCCCACCCCCAAAACAAACCAGUGAAACAAGACAUACUACCUCCAGAGCAGAGCAAAAUUUUCCAUAAAGUCCACUAAAUAUCUCAUUUUUGCCAGUCUAAUUACUAGGAGGCAUCCAGAUAUAGGUAAUCAAUCAACCUCCACAGAAGAGCGUUCCCAAUCCAACUGAAACUAAAAGUGAGAAGGAAGAAGAAUCAGAGAGACAUGAAUCAAGGCUCAGAAAGGGGAAAAGGAAGAGAGUUUCCAAGUCACAACCCUACUAUCCUGUUCAAUGAGGGCCCUACAAUAAAAUAUGACCAUUUCUUUAUGGUGUUAAAAUGGCUUGAAGCUUCCCACCACACUGGAAAAGCAAGAUACUGUUUCCUCUGAGAGGGUGUUUGUUGUUAUUAUUAUUUAUUUUCCCCAUUAACUACUGGAUAUAAAGUCAAUUGAAUUUAACAGAAAGACAUCUGUUGGUUUCAAGGGGCUUGGAAUCAGGCCCCAAGGGAGCAACUGCUAUUGGACUUUCAUUCUGACAUUGGAGGACAAUCCAGCUACUUCCAGUGUUCCAGUACAAAAUUUGGUACAGGUAAGAGCUGUGUAUAUAUCAUGGAGAUAUCCUCAUCAAGGGUGAGGAGGCAGAAUUUCUCAGAAGGGAUAAUACUUCUGAGAUGUAGGAGCAGAUGCUUGUCCCCAUAUGGACAAUCAUGUGAUUGGAUCAAAGAAGGCAUGUAAAUGGCUGUAUCUCCAACAGGUUACAAUAUACUGACAUCUAAUACAAUCUCUUCAUAAUUUUAUUUUGGAUUAGAUUUGGUUUAGAAAUGGAUCUGAUACAAUGCAUCUUUAUCUUCACGCAAGUGGUGCUCUGGGAGAUUUCAAGUUGUUCAUUACAAUUUUUUGUGGAUUGAAAAAAGAGGAUGAACAACAGAUGACAUUUAGUCAUUGUAACAUUGGUCAACAAAGUAUGGAAGUCUAUCUGCUUUUUCUUCUACUCCUUGGGAAUAGUUUGACUUUCUUAAACAAUAUGGCCAAAUCAAAUGUUCCUAUCCAUCCUCAUUGUCCCUGGUACUUACGAGUGUGCACUGUGCAUGAAAAAAGGAAGGGGAAGUGGAACUCCCUUUCCUUUGCUAAAUGAAAAGGUAACAUUGCCACUUUGUUCCCUCUUACUGGGGCUGGCUGGAAAGCCACUCCACUCUGCAGGCAGUCCCAGAAAAUGGGUGGGCUGGGAGCAGAUACUGCAGUGAUGUGGCACCUACUCUUCAGGCGGCAUCUCUCUCUCAUUGGUCCCUGAUGAAUCUGAGCCACCAUGGAGAAUCAACCAGGAGGCAGACCAGGGCAGUGGUACAGUAUAGAAGGUGUGUGAGAGCUACUUAUGAACCUUAACUCCAGGGCCUAAUACAAUGACCCUGAGCUUGACUCUGUGAGAUGCUUUCUGAAAAAUCCUGGAGAGAUAGAACUCUGGCCUGUACUUCAGCAGCGUGUUAAAUGGAAGGAAAAGGAGUAUGCCUAAUUUACUCUGCUAUCCCAGUUACAUAAGCACCUAGAGAAAAUAAACAGACAGAAGUGACCAGCCCUCUGUGAAGAAAGAAGUGGUUCGGGACUAUUUAGAAAAGCUGGACGAGCACAAGUCCAUGGGGCCGGAUGCGUUGAAUCCAAGAAUGCUAAAGGAGUUGGCGAAUGUGAUUGCAGAGCCAUUGGCCAUUAUCUUUGAAAACUCAUGGCGAUCGGGGGAGGUCCCGGACGACUGGAAAAAGGCUAAUGUAGUGCCCAUCUUUAAAAAAGGGAAGAAGGAGGAUCCUGGGAACUACAGGCCAGUCAGCCUCACCUCAGUCCCUGGAAAAAUCAUGGAGCAGGUCCUCAAGGAAUCAAUUCUGAAGCACUUAGAGGAGAGGAAAGUGAUCAGGAACAGUCAGCAUGGCUUCACCAAGGGCAAGUCAUGCCUGACUAAUCUAAUUGCCUUCUAUGAUGAGAUAACUGGCUCUGUGGAUGAGGGGAAAGCAGUGGACGUGUUGUUCCUUGACUUUAGCAAAGCUUUUGACAUGGUCUCCCACAGUAUUCUUGCCAGUAAGUUAAAGAAGUGGCUUUAAGGUCUUUAAGGUCAGGCAUGACAAAGCCCUGGCUGGGAUGAUUUAGUUGGGGAUUGGUCCUGCUUUGAGCAGGGGGUUGGACUAGAUGACCUCCUGAGGUCCCUUCCAACCCUGAUAUUCUAUGAUUCUGUGGUAUGCAAGUAAGAGCAGAAAAUGUUAAGUGAACUUUCUGAACUCACCAAAAUGUUUGAUUCAGUUUCUUUGAUCAGUAGCAGUACAACUGUCCUAUUUAAUCAUUUCCUGCCUCUGGGCUUCCAACAGCUCUGUCUAUUUUUGUACAGUGCCUAGCACAAUGAAAUGUUCUCAAUAGCUCUUUUGUGCUACUAUGACACAAAUAAAAUUUUUUCUGGGCCUUGAACAAUGUACAUAUAGUUCUUAUGCGCUGUGGCACACAUUUCAGUCAGAGGCAUAUGAAGCACCAGAGUUCAUGAGAAAUGAAUCAGAAUGAAUCCACAGCAGAAACUCAUCUGGGCCCAGUAAUGUAAGGAGAGUUGGAGAUCUUGCAGGAAGGGAGGCCUGCUGGCAGGCUAGCUGAAGGGACAGAGAAGGUUAGUUAUAGAGAAGAAAUUUUUUAAAAAAUGAAUUUCUU